ACGGAGGAUCCAAGCGUUAUCCGGAUUUAUUGGGUUUAAAGGGUGCGUAGGCGGGAUGAUAAGUCAGUGGUGAAAUCCUACAGCUUAACUGUAGAACUGCCAUUGAUACUGUCAACCUUGAGUACAUUUGAAGUGGGCGGAAUGUGUGGUGUAGCGGUGAAAUGCUUAGAUAUCACACAGAACACCGAUAGCGAAGGCAGCUCACUAAACUGUAACUGACGCUGAGGCACGAAAGCGUGGGGAUCAAACAG
Molecule: ribosomal RNA, 251 nt
Filed under: uncultured prokaryote
Description: partial 16S rRNA
Rfam family: Bacterial small subunit ribosomal RNA
Source: RNAcentral